CCCUUAGAUGUCCUGGGCCGUACGCGCGCUACACUGAGUGUCUGAGAUACGAGUCUGCCUGGUCCGGCAAGGUCUAGGUAAUCGCUAAAAGACACAUCAUGCUUGGGAUAGAUUAUUGCAAAUAUUAAUCUUGAACGAGGAAUUCCUAGUAAGCGCAAGUCAACAGCUUGCGUUGAUUACGUCCCUGCCCUUUGUACACACCGCCCGUCGCUACUACUGAUUGGAUGUUUAAGCGAGGUUCUCGAACUGCUAGCGACUUAGCUUCGGUGAGGUCGCAGUGUGGGAAGUGAACCUAGCUUUGGUGUCUAGAGGAAGUAAAAGUCGUAACA
This 329-nucleotide ribosomal RNA is filed under the name uncultured eukaryote. RNAcentral describes it as "partial 18S ribosomal RNA". It matches the Rfam family "Eukaryotic small subunit ribosomal RNA", at positions 1470 to 1796 of the family's 1831-position model. The record is from RNAcentral.